RNAcentral lists this ribosomal RNA (454 nucleotides) under uncultured bacterium. Its description in RNAcentral is "partial 16S ribosomal RNA". It matches the Rfam family "Bacterial small subunit ribosomal RNA", at positions 28 to 507 of the family's 1533-position model. The record is from RNAcentral.
GAUGAACGCUGACAGAAUGCUUAACACAUGCAAGUCAACUUGAACUUCGGUUUGGGUGGCGGGCGGGUGAGUAACGCGUAAAGAACUUGCCUCACAGCUAGGGACAACAUUUGGAAACGAAUGCUAAUACCUGAUAUUAUGAUUAUAUGGCAUCGUAUAAUUAUGAAAGCUAUAUGCGCUGUGAGAGAGCUUUGCGUCCCAUUAGCUAGUUGGAGAGGUAACAGCUCACCAAGGCGAUGAUGGGUAGCCGGCCUGAGAGGGUGAUCGGCCACAAGGGGACUGAGACACGGCCCUUACUCCUACGGGAGGCAGCAGUGGGGAAUAUUGGACAAUGGACCGAGAGUCUGAUCCAGCAAUUCUGUGUGCACGAUGAAGUUUUUCGGAAUGUAAAGUGCUUUCAGUUGGGAAGAAAAAAAUGACGGUACCAACAGAAGAAGUGACGGCUAAAUACGUG